UGAGUUGUUCUAGACUUGCUUCCGAAUCGGGCUCCCCGCAUAUUUGUGCGGUCAACUGUUUCGUAGCUUGUUUCUCGAGCGUCCCGUCCCGAAGCACAUAUUUUGCUUGGCUGGUGCGAUCAAUGGGUUGUUGCCUGUGUUGCUACUAUUUUUGGGAAAAUGUUUGUUUUGUGACUACGGCAUGCCAUGUUGCCUUCGAUUAUGAUUUUGAGAAAGUUGCGUUGGCUAUUGAAACAUCGGCUUUGUUCGGGAGCGAUCGAUGGGUCUCGACUCGUCCGCAGCUCCCGUCAUAUUAUAUGAGCAGCUCUUUUGGAUACGGUAGCUAUGCGGGUUCUUGUGGUCCUCUUCGGUCCGCAUGCAACCUCGUAGUACACACCCGUAACAGUUCAUUGUACGUGGGAGUUCUAUGAUAUAUUAGUGAUUGCGUUGCGUGCUUGCGGAGUUGCAUUCCGUCCGGGAGUGCUUCAGCAGCUCGCAUGCUCACUUUUUUGACUUGCUACCUGGUUGAUCCUGCCAGUAGUCA
This 523-nucleotide unclassified non-coding RNA is filed under the name Scleria dregeana. RNAcentral's name for it is "partial external transcribed spacer 1". Lineage: Eukaryota; Viridiplantae; Streptophyta; Magnoliopsida; Poales; Cyperaceae. The record is from RNAcentral.